AUUGAACGCUAGCGGGAUGCUUUGCACAUGCAAGUCGAACGAGUGGCGGACGGGUGAGUAAUAUAUCGGAACGUGCCCAGUAGCGGGGGAUAACUACUCGAAACAGUGGCUACUACCGCAUCCUAUUGGAGCGGCCGAUAUCGGAUUAGCUAGUGGGUGGGGUAAAGGCUCACCAAGGCAACGAUCCGUCGCUGGUUUGAGAGGAGGACCAGCCACACUGGGACUGAGACACGGCCCAGACUCCUACGGGAGGCAGCAGUGGGGAAUAUUGGACAAUGGGGGAAACCCUGAUCCAGCCAUCCCGCGGGUAUGAGAAGGCCUUAGGGUUGUAAAGUACUUUCAGUCGGGAGGCGUUACCGGCAGAAGAAGCACCGGCUAACUCCGUGCCAGCCGCCGCGGUAAUAC
Molecule: ribosomal RNA, 405 nt
Filed under: uncultured bacterium
Lineage: Bacteria
Description: partial 16S ribosomal RNA
Rfam family: Bacterial small subunit ribosomal RNA
Source: RNAcentral